GCGAGGGACGGCGACCGGCCUUUCGCCGUGCACGCUGGGAGCUGUAGUCCAAUGGCGCCACUCGCGAGCACGCGCAGCGGGCGGGUUACCGCCAGGAGUCGGGGCGUUGUCCAGGCGCUGACUUCCGAACCGGCCGCCGAGCGAGUCUGAAGACUUUUGCCAGUGUCCAAGAGAAUGUUUUUCCAGUGAUAUGAAAAGAAAUGGAAUCUGAUCUCCAGGGUAGUAAUGGCUGCCAGUCAGCCAGGCUGGUGACAGAAAUCAUGGCUGCAACAAGGAGUCCCCAGGCAUACCCAUCCCAAGGAAGGACUGCUACCAGGGACAGAAAUCAGGCCUUCCCAGCACCAGCCCUGACUCAGAAGCCUCCCACCAACGCUUCAGGCAGUUCUGCUGCCAAGAGGUAGCCGGCCCCCGUGAAGCCUCUGGGAACUCUGCUGUCAGUGGCUAAGGCCUAAGACACACUCAAGAGAGCAGAUGUUGGAGCUCUUGGAUUUGGAGCAGUUUCCAACCAUCUUACCGGAGGAGAUCCAGACCUGGGUGAGGGAGCAACACCCAGAAAAUGGCGAGGAAGCUGUGGCUCUGGUUGAGGAUGUACAGAGCGCAUCUGGCCAGCAGGUGAGGACAGGCAUUCAGGACCUGCUGAGUUUCGUUACGAAGAACUGAGCGAGAAGCACAGGAAUCUGCUUAGUGGAGAGGAGCUUGAGCUGAGAAAUGCACAGUAGCGCUCUGUCCGCCACCAGAAACCAUGAGCUGGCUUGGGGUGGUCCCUGCCCUUCGUCUUUGGGGAGAAUUUCUCGUUUGCUGCAAUAACGUAGACACAGAUAUAUUCAGUUUAUGUUUAAGGUCCCUAAUACAAAUGUAAAACCUCAGAAUACUUUCCAACAGAAGGUCAGGGAAAGGACAACUAUCCCUCACCCACGGAGUUGGUGAGUUAAAAUCCAGUGUCUCUUGCUGAAAGUCUCCUUGAGGGCAGAUGCCAUGUGUUAUUCACUAAAUAAAGUUGCAUUAGAGCUGC
Neogale vison (American mink) is the source of this 1012-nucleotide long non-coding RNA. RefSeq lists it as uncharacterized. The transcript is spliced from 2 exons. Lineage: Eukaryota; Metazoa; Chordata; Mammalia; Carnivora; Mustelidae. The record is from RefSeq and is a predicted model, not a curated record.